GAUGAACGCUGGCGGCGUGCCUAAUACAUGCAAGUCGAGCGAACAGACGAGGAGCUUGCUCCUCUGACGUUAGCGGCGGACGGGGGAGUAACACGUGGAUAACCUAUCUAUAAGACUGGGAUAACUUCGGGAAACCGGAGCUAAUACCGGAUAAUAUAUUGAACCGUAUGGUUAAAUAGUGAAAGACGGUUUUGCUUUCACUUAUAGAUGGAUCCGCGCCGCAUUAGCUAGUUGGUAAGGUAACGGCUUACCAAGGCAACGAUGCGUAGCCGACCUGAGAGGGUGAUCGGCCACACUGAAACUGAGACACGGUCCAGACUCCUACGGGAGGCAGCAGUAGGGAAUCUUCCGCAAUGGGCGAAAGCUUGACGGAGCAACGCCGCGUGAGUGAUGAAGGUCUUCGGAUCGUAAAACUCUGUUAUUAGGGAAGAACAAAUGUGUAAGUAACUAUGCACGUCUUGACGGUACCUAAUCAGAAAGCCACGGCUAACUACGUG
Molecule: ribosomal RNA, 497 nt
Filed under: uncultured bacterium
Lineage: Bacteria
Description: partial 16S ribosomal RNA
Rfam family: Bacterial small subunit ribosomal RNA
Source: RNAcentral